Molecule: non-coding RNA, 27 nt
Filed under: Mus musculus (house mouse)
Lineage: Eukaryota; Metazoa; Chordata; Mammalia; Rodentia; Muridae
Source: RNAcentral
GCACCAAGGAGCCCUAGAUAGUCCACC